GACGAACGCUGGCGGCGUGCCUAAUACAUGCAAGUCGAGCGAAGUUUUCCUGGUGCUUGCACUAGAAAAACUUAGCGGCGGACGGGUGAGUAACACGUAAAGAACCUGCCUCAUAGACUGGGACAACUAUUGGAAACGAUAGCUAAUACCGGAUAAUAGCAUUAACUGCAUGGUUGAUGUUUGAAAGUUGGUUUUGCUAACACUAUGAGAUGGCUUUGCGGUGCAUUAGCUAGUUGGUGGGGUAAAGGCCUACCAAGGCGACGAUGCAUAGCCGACCUGAGAGGGUGAUCGGCCACACUGGGACUGAGACACGGCCCAGACUCCUACGGGAGGCAGCAGUAGGGAAUCUUCCGCAAUGGGCGAAAGCCUGACGGAGCAACGCCGCGUGAGUGAAGAAGGAUUUCGGUUCGUAAAGCUCUGUUGUUAGGGAAGAAUGAUUGUGUAGUAACUAUACACAGUAGAGACGGUACCUAACCAGAAAGCCACGGCUAACUACGUGCCAGCAGCCGCGGUAAUACGUAGGUGGCAAGCGUUGUCCGGAAUUAUUGGGCGUAAAGCGCGCGCAGGUGGUUUAAUAAGUCUGAUGUGAAAGCCCACGGCUCAACCGUGGAGGGUCAUUGGAAACUGUUAAACUUGAGUGCAGGAGAGAAAAGUGGAAUUCCUAGUGUAGCGGUGAAAUGCGUAGAGAUUAGGAGGAACACCAGUGGCGAAGGCGGCUUUUUGGCCUGUAACUGACACUGAGGCGCGAAAGCGUGGGGAGCAAACAGG
Molecule: ribosomal RNA, 768 nt
Filed under: uncultured bacterium
Lineage: Bacteria
Description: bacterial SSU rRNA
Rfam family: Bacterial small subunit ribosomal RNA
Source: RNAcentral